Molecule: ribosomal RNA, 253 nt
Filed under: uncultured bacterium
Lineage: Bacteria
Description: partial 16S ribosomal RNA
Rfam family: Bacterial small subunit ribosomal RNA
Source: RNAcentral
UACGGAGGGAGCUAGCGUUGUUCGGAAUUACUGGGCGUAAAGCGUACGUAGGCGGUUAUUCAAGUCAGAGGUGAAAGCCUGGAGCUCAACUCCAGAACUGCCUUUGAAACUAGAUAGCUAGAAUCAUGGAGAGGUGAGUGGAAUUCCGAGUAUAGAGGUGAAAUUCGUAGAUAUUCGGAAGAACACCAGUGGCGAAGGCGGCUAACUGGACCAUUCUUGACGCUGAGGUACGAAAGCUAGGGUAGCAAAUGGG